GAAAGUUAUUUGCUCUCUCCUACAUCUUUAAUAAAUAUUAACAGCAAGGAAAGCCACUAUUAGAUAACCCAUAUAUGAAUCAGAUUCGAUUCAGAACUCGUUCCACGAGUUCAUUGCUUAAGAAAAACUGCUCUUCUGUUUACUCUUUGGGAUGAAAAAGAAAAAGAAAAUCAGUGCCAUCGACCCACAGUUCCUUUUAAUCAAAUCGGGCUGAGCAACUGGAAAAAGCUCUAGGGGCGCUCUUCUGGAAAAAGCCACAGUCCAACCACAGGAUUAAAAUACAGGAAACUUGGUGAAAAAAAAAAAAAAAGGAAGCCGAGAAAGGAAAAAAAAAAAAAAACUGCGUUCGCCUCACAAGACCAGGAUGAGCUGUUCUUGCUCUGGUUCUAAUUUUAGCGACUCUUUGGAUUGGGGCAGGGCCCGCUUUUACACACACUCGCUCAAGAAAAGGGUGCGCGCAAAACUCCGGCCACGUCACCGGCGGCGGCGCGCGAUCCGAGCCCCCCGCUCUGCCAGGUUCGCGGCCUCGCGGCGGGAAGCAGCAAGGACAGCGGGAGCUGCGGGCCAGGAAAGGGGCCCGAAGGCAGCUUCUGUUUACUCCCAAACUUUUGCUGGCUUUCAAACCGAGUGCGGAGGUCCCCAGACGCUGGGCUCGUCUUUGACCAGAUAUCACAACUCCUUGCCUGCAGUGUCAUGAGAAAUCCUGAACCACAAGUCACCCAGCUAAUUUGCUCCUGAAUUCCUGGCCAACAGAAAUGCAUCAUGCUCGGUAAUCACAAGAUGGCUGCCGCGCCGCAU
Molecule: long non-coding RNA, 798 nt
Organism: Tupaia belangeri chinensis (Chinese tree shrew)
Lineage: Eukaryota; Metazoa; Chordata; Mammalia; Scandentia; Tupaiidae
Exons: 3
Source: RefSeq, a predicted model, not a curated record